UUUCAGUUGAGAGCAGACAGGGAGGAUUGGGUGGAAAUUAUAAGGUCUCACUUGAAUGAAGCUGUGCCCCUGUUCUCAAUUCGGAUAAAUCUGUGAGAUCCCCCACCUCUCCUGCCAUUCACCUGCCCGGGCUCCACCUGCUCUGCUUCUUUGCAAAUGACCUGUCCCUCUGAUGUCAAUCACAAUGGCUUGCUUUUCCUUUACUAAACAUUUUGUGAAUUGAGAUUGGGUCCUCAUCUGGGGAUCAUCUGGGAAGUUAGAAAACACAGCAAUGCUCACUCUAAACGCAGGAUAUAACUGUAGACAUCAGCAAAUAUUUGUCCCUCACGUGUCCCAUCUGGGAGCGCAAGGCCUGCGGAGCUCACAUGUGGACAGAACGCACAUGGGCAUCAGUGAGGCCCCAGAUAUCAACCCUUGACCGCAUUCUCCUUCCCCAGCUCCCCUGUGCUUACCAGGGAUGAAGAGCAUUAGUAGCCCCAGCAGAUGAGCAGAGAUCCUCAUUGUGUGAAGCUGAACUGAGGACUCCUGAUCAGUGGAAUCAAGGUUAAAGCUGAGCUUUUAUCUCAGACCUGAAGAGAAGAUCUUGAGAGCAAUAUGCAAAUCCUUUGGUAGGUGCAGGGGAGGAGACAAACUGCUAGGUGAGG
Molecule: long non-coding RNA, 644 nt
Filed under: Chinchilla lanigera (long-tailed chinchilla)
Lineage: Eukaryota; Metazoa; Chordata; Mammalia; Rodentia; Chinchillidae
Description: lncRNA (ENSCLAG00000028803.1)
Source: RNAcentral